AGACUUCCUUCCCGGGAGGUUUCGUGGGGGAAAGCACGGCGUUCGGUCGCCAGCGUUCCCAGUUGAGCGCGCGCAGCUCCUGGAAGGGAGAAGGGUGAGCAGCGGGGACCCGCCCCCUUUUAGGAGGGCGGCGGCCGUUGGAGACACCGGAAGGACUCUCGCCUCACCUCCCCCGGGAAAGGCCCGAUCCGGGAGGCGGGACAAAGGUACACGCCGGGGGUGGAGUCCGAGGUGCCAACGGAGGAGGGCGGGGCCUGUGCAGCGCCUCGAGUCCAUUUUGCGGUGGUGCGCGGCGCUUACCGCGCGAUCUUCCGAGCUGGAAGACCUGAGUCCUUGCAGCUGCAGGCUUUGCCGGAGCCUUUAGUUUUUUAUUGUCAGUUGAAACGUGGAAAAACAAAACCCUGAUUGCUUUGCCCUGGGUAAUAGUAACUCUACGGUAAACACCUGCUUGCAGGGACAGAGGUAAAUAACAAUACUUUUCCCUAUGUUAUGCUCACAUUUUAAGAAAAAGCACUCAAAUUUAUUAGACCCAAAAAUUGAAAUCUGUAGAAUAUAUAUGUUCACACCCACUUUUUUCAUUAAUGGUCUUUGUUUCAUAUUUCGUUAACUCAGAAAAAAUAGAAUCCAUGCUUGGCAGUUCUUUGUGAUGAUCAUUUAAAAUGUAUUAUAUUUAAAGAUUUAUAUUGCAAACGAAGAGAGAGGCUUCAGUAGCAUUCUUUAGAGCCCCGCCCUUUUCAUGUUUGGUCAAUUGUCAGGCUGCUGGACUUGUACAAUGGGACUUGAGUUUUUCUAUGACUUUAGAAGACUUUUUAAUAUAUGUGUUUUAAAAGUACAAUUUUAUUUACAUUGGCACUUCCUCUAGUAGAAAUGGAUGGAGCUGUUGAUUAGCUGGUUAUACUUCUUUCUUUUACAACCAAAAGAUACUGGAACAUGCUUGGCAAGCACUCUACUAGAACUGUCAAGCUGUUCUUUUCAUUCUGUAUGAUAGGUUAGCUGUUCCUCCUUGCUACAACUUUUUCCCCAGAUAUGUCCAUUUUGUACCUGGUAUUCGUAUGUAAUAUUUACUUUGACAUCCCUUGAAAUCACUUUUCAAGAGAGUCCGACUCUCUUUUAGGACCAUUCUCUAAUACUAUACGUGUGCAUUUACAGAUUUCAUUGUAUUUAUACAUACAUGUAAGUAAAUACUAUACAUUUACAUAGUUUAGCAGUUUGCAAAAUUCUAAUGCUUUAAUUUUUCCAGUAAUAGUGUGAAGAAGGUACCAUAAAGACCUGGGUAUUCAGAAGCAGAUUUUGUGCUGCUUCAUUGGAAGGCUUUUUAAAGCCUAAUUUGUAAAAAUCAUUUAGAAGAGCUUCA
Molecule: long non-coding RNA, 1354 nt
Filed under: Urocitellus parryii (Arctic ground squirrel)
Lineage: Eukaryota; Metazoa; Chordata; Mammalia; Rodentia; Sciuridae
Description: lncRNA (ENSUPAG00010004029.1)
Source: RNAcentral